Long non-coding RNA from Gadus macrocephalus (Pacific cod), 165 nucleotides. RefSeq lists it as uncharacterized. The record is from RefSeq and is a predicted model, not a curated record. The transcript is spliced from 2 exons. Lineage: Eukaryota; Metazoa; Chordata; Actinopteri; Gadiformes; Gadidae.
GCCGGCUUGACGUGAGGCCAGUACGAGAGACGUAUGGUUAGGUUAGGUUAGGUUAGGUUAGGUUAGUUUAUGUUUGCUGACGGAUGGAGUCAUUUCCUUUUCAUUUGAAACGUUGCUCUAUUUUUUGUGAAUGUUUUGGAGACAUUAAAACUUCACUUUUUCUUA